AUCUGAAACUAUCCAAGAUACGGAAAUGAUAGAAACGACCUUUGAUAAUCCAUUGAAGAAUCCGCCAGUCAUUGAAAACAACACAAGAAAGCGGUGUGCUGAAGAAAAUGAACAUUCGCGCAGUAAACGACAACGGCAGGAGGUUAUGGUGCCACCGACUUCCAACUACAACCCAUGUUUACUGCGUCCAACCCACAACAAUCCAGAUAUUUCUCGUUGUCUCAUGGUCCAUAUGUUAUAGCUUGUAAAACAAAGAAAUAACUGUACAAAUUUUAAUACUUAAUGUUAUCAGUUAACAGAUUUUAAGUAAUGUUAAUUUUAUCUACAGAAGUACAAACAAUGAAAAAACAUGGACCUGAGACUAACGAGAAUUUGAAAUUGGAUUCCACAUCAGAGGAAUUAAUGGCAACCUUAUAUUGGCAUAUUCACGGCGGGAACUUUUAUCAGUGUGUGUGACAAAAAUUUUAGACUGACAGUGUUAAUUGACUAUGAUAAAAGACUAUAAGUACUAAGCUAGAAAGUUUUUCUUUCAAGUAUUAUAAUUUCAAAGGUUUUUUUCUAAAUAAAGGUAAACUAGGAAAAGGGAGGUUUUUUAUUUAAAACAAUUAGAUUACUUUUUUAUAUUUUAUUUGUGCUAAAUAAAUAUUACAUAAAUUAUGUCGAGACAAGCAUUGCAAAAUAAUAGUAUAUUGAAUAAUAUAUGAAUCGUCAAAAACUUCAGAGUUUAAUCUGAAAGAAAAAUAUGAAAAUGAGUAUAUUUAUGUUUUUUCUGUUGCAGGUGCAGUGUUAGAAGAACUAAUUUAAAAUUUGUUUCAGGGAUCGCUCAGACUAAAAUGCUAAGUGUAGCUGUUUGAGUGUUUUGUUAAUCAAUAUGAUUUAUUAAUAUCACCUUUCUGUUUUUCAGAUUUGUCUUCCAUAUGCAGCCUUGUUGGCACACGGUCAAGUCCGAGCCAUUCUGCUUCAGCCUUUAAUGCAAAUAUUAUUCAAAUUUAUACACUAUUUUUGAUAUUCAAACUUUUUUAAGUUUGUAAUUAAUGAAGUAAUUGAUGAAACAUUGUAUCUGUGAUAAUAUGUACCUGAUUUAUUAUAAGUAAUAUAUGAUUGUAAUAAAUGAUAUUUCUGAA
Long non-coding RNA from Pieris napi, 1124 nucleotides. RefSeq lists it as uncharacterized. The record is from RefSeq and is a predicted model, not a curated record. The transcript is spliced from 2 exons. NCBI's taxonomy places the organism in Eukaryota, Metazoa, Arthropoda, Insecta, Lepidoptera, Pieridae.